This 327-nucleotide small nuclear RNA is filed under the name Camelus bactrianus (Bactrian camel). RNAcentral's name for it is "7SK RNA". It matches the Rfam family "7SK RNA". From Rfam's summary of the family: 7SK was discovered as an abundant small nuclear RNA in the mid-70s but a possible function has only recently been suggested. Two independent studies have found that 7SK RNA binds the CDK9/cyclin T complex (known as elongation factor P-TEFb). The record is from Rfam by way of RNAcentral. Lineage: Eukaryota; Metazoa; Chordata; Mammalia; Artiodactyla; Camelidae. RNAcentral also lists the same sequence under 1 other name.
GGAUGGUUUAAGACGAUCUGGCUGUGACAUCUGUCAUCCCAUUUGAUAGCAGGGUUAAUUUGGCUGAUCUGGCUGGCUAAGUGGGGGACUCCUUCCUCUCUCACCGCUCCACAUGCAUCCUUCCUGAAGCCGCAUGCUCGGUAAAAGAGGACAACUUUCUCCGAUAGAGGAAGACCACUGUUCAGUCAAUAGUAUAGGAGUAGAUGCUCCCCUGAAGCUUCACACAAGUUCUCAAGUUUCAUUUGUAGAAGAACAUCAGGUAGUCAAGCUUCCAAGACUCCAGACACAUCCAGAUGAGGCGCUGUGUGUGGCAGUCCACCUUUCUGU